UACACAUUGGACCCCCUUGCU
Molecule: non-coding RNA, 21 nt
Filed under: Caenorhabditis elegans
Lineage: Eukaryota; Metazoa; Nematoda; Chromadorea; Rhabditida; Rhabditidae
Source: RNAcentral